Molecule: ribosomal RNA, 498 nt
Filed under: uncultured bacterium
Lineage: Bacteria
Description: bacterial SSU rRNA
Rfam family: Bacterial small subunit ribosomal RNA
Source: RNAcentral
AACGAACGCUGGCGGCGCGCCUAAUACAUGCAAGUCGAGCGAGAAGACGUAGCAAUACGUUUGUAAAGCGGCGAACGGGUGAGGAACACAUGGGUAACCUACCCUAGAGUGGGGAAUAACUAGCCGAAAGGUUAGCUAAUACCGCGUACGCUCCUUGGACUUCGGUACAGGGAGGAAAGCGAUACCGUGGGUAUCGCGCUCUUGGAUGGGCUCAUGUCCUAUCAGCUUGUUGGUGAGGAACGGCUCACCAAGGCUUCGACGGGUAGCUGGUCUGAGAGGACGAUCAGCCACACUGGCACUGCGACACGGGCCAGACUCCUACGGGAGGCAGCAGUAAGGAAUAUUGCGCAAUGGGCGAAAGCCUGACGCAGCGACGCCGCGUGGGGGAUGAAGGUCUUCGGAUUGUAAACCCCUUUCGGGAGGGAAGAUGGAACGAGCAAUCGUUCGGACGGUACCUCCAGAAGCAGCCACGGCUAACUUCGUGCCAGCAGCCGCUGU